Molecule: non-coding RNA, 154 nt
Organism: Amborella trichopoda
Lineage: Eukaryota; Viridiplantae; Streptophyta; Magnoliopsida; Amborellales; Amborellaceae
Source: Rfam
CCCCUACUCAUGUGUGUAGGACCCCAAAGGAUCACCAUUAAAGUUGGCACAGAUCUCUAGAAAAGUUAUCAUAUGGGUGUGGGACUUGAUUUUUCUAUAGAUCCGUGCCAAAUUUAAUGGUGAUCUUUUGGGGUUCUACACACAUGGGUGGGGG